GAUGAACGCUGGCGGCGCGCCUAACACAUGCAAGUCGAACGGCACCUAUCUUCGGAUAGAAGCGAGUGGCGAACGGCUGAGUAACACGUGGAGAACCUGCCCCCUCCCCCGGGAUAGCCGCCCGAAAGGACGGGUAAUACCGGAUACCCCGGGGUGCCGCAUGGCACCCCGGAUAANAGCCCCGACGGGAGGGGAUGGCUCCGCGGCCCAUCAAGUAGACGGCGGGGUGACGGCCCACCGUGCCGACAACGGGUAGCCGGGUUGAGAGACCGACCGGCCAGAUUGGGACUGAGACACGGCCCAGACUCCUACGGGAGGCAGCAGUGGGGAAUCUUGCGCAAUGGGGGGAACCCUGACGCAGCGACGCCGCGUGCGGGACGGAGGCCUUCGGGUCGUAAACCGCUUUCAGCAGGGAAGAGUCAAGACUGUACCUGCAGAAGAAGCCCCGGCUAACUACGUGCCAGCAGCCGCGGUAAUACGUAGGGGGCGAGCGUUAUCCGGAUUCAUUGGGCGUAAAGCGCGCGUAGGCGGCCCGGCAGGCCGGGGGUCGAAGCGGGGGGCUCAACCCCCCGAAGCCCCCGGAACCUCCUCGGCUUGGGUCCGGUAGGGGAGGGUGGAACACCCGGUGUAGCGGUGGAAUGCGCAGAUAUCGGGUGGAACACCGGUGGCGAAGGCGGCCCUCUGGGCCGAGACCGACGCUGAGGCGCGAAAGCUGGGGGAGCGAACAGGAUUAGAUACCCUGGUAGUCCCAGCCGUAA
Molecule: ribosomal RNA, 758 nt
Filed under: uncultured bacterium
Lineage: Bacteria
Description: bacterial SSU rRNA
Rfam family: Bacterial small subunit ribosomal RNA
Source: RNAcentral